This 887-nucleotide long non-coding RNA is filed under the name Nicotiana benthamiana. Its description in RNAcentral is "long non-coding RNA (NBEN_LNC033225)". Lineage: Eukaryota; Viridiplantae; Streptophyta; Magnoliopsida; Solanales; Solanaceae. The record is from RNAcentral.
UCAACUUCUCUUAACAUUAUAAAUCCAUUUAAGCUCUGAAGUGACGAACAUAGCAAAAUAUAAAGCAAAUUGCAAACUCACAUGAAAUUCUGUUAUAAGAAUCCAUUCAGGAAAGAUAACACAAAUUCACUCACACCAAAACAUAUAUGAACAGAUUUGAAGUAUAGGAUUUAGAAACGGACCUAAAAUUAGUAAACUUCUUUUAAUAUAUGAGUUUGAUUACAUUUAACUCCGGCGAACCGAGCCUGAACCGUAGAGAUGACAUGGUAACAGAUCAAUGGCAACUCGGACGGCACCAACCUCCACUCAGACACAACUCCACCAGUUGCAAACUGAAGACUCGCCGGUGAUGAAAUCCAGCUGAGCCAACCAAAUGAAUGUAUGAGCAGAAAAUGUUAGAGGCAGUCAAAGCUGUUGGAUCUCGUCAUUUCUGGCGAUGUAACAGUGAAGAGAAGAGAGGACAAACGAGAUAACGAGAACAGCAUAGCAAUAGCAUUUUCCGUAUUCAAUAGAGGGUCGCCGGAUUUAACCAAACGUUCGACCCGAUCUGAAACUCGUCAAACAUGGAGGAGAGAAGAGGACGGAAGCCAUGAAGCUUGCUAAUCGUUGUUGUUUCUCCAGAAGAUGAACUAGUGGGGUGGCUGUUUAGCGAAGUUUUCGCCGGAUUUCCGGCCAGUUCUGGCGGGGGUCUAGGGUGGUUCAAGGAGUGAAGAAGAAGGGAAUGGCUGCUGCUGCUGGUUCUCGUCCUAGGGUCGAAGAAGGAGACCGGCAUCCAUGGAGUUCUCAAGUUCUCUGAAGAAGAUAGGGCUCGGGUUCCGAUCUGCUCCUUUUUUUUGUAUAUCCUUCCUUAUGUGUAUUAACGUGAAGAAGAAUACUUAAGGUUGUUG